AACCAACCCAUUUAGCACAAUGCCACAUGGUAGGUGCUCUACAAGAUAGCUGGAAGAAAGAGGGCACAGAAAGGUGAUAUACAUAAACUGUGUCUGAAAUAAAGGACAAGGUGCAGAUUCCAUAUGGAGAGGACCUAGGAUCGUGGCAAGUAGAACCAGACAGUACUAAGCUGUCAGGACUUGACAGGCCGGUGUACUCCCUAUUGGAGGCCAGGCUGCUUUCAGGGCCCUUUCACAAAAGAAAAGCAACCCUUGUGAAAAGUAAAAAGCAUUUUGCACCACCUGACCCCAACUUCAAUGUGAACGCACCAGUACAUCCAGAGUUUCCUAGAUGGACUCCUACUGCAGCUUUCUUAGAGAACUAGGACUGUUCACCCUGUCUGAGUUUCUAAAUCAUGGACAUCUUCCAGCAGUAUUAGUGAGCUGGUCUGUGUGAUCCUAGAGAGAGAUGAGCAAUGGCAGGCUUGACUGCCCAGUGCGUCAAGCUGUGGAAACAGCCCUCUGGAGGACACUAUUCACCCCAACCCCAGCAACCAAUUACUCAGAGCUCAUUUAGUAAAUGAGCUCAUUCGGUGCCCUAAUUGGAGCUCUGUGAGAGUAAACUUGCAUCAAGAAGCUAGCUCUCCAUGGCUAGAUUUUCCUUUCUGGAACAUCACAAGACCAGACUGGGCAGGUAGUGAUGGAGAGCACCUGUCCUAGUGCUUGGCUGCCUAAUGCAAAAUGCAGGGUGGGUAUUUGCAGGCUUUGCAGACUUCAGCAAGCUAUUCUAUCCUGUUCCUCGUCUAUAAAAAGGGAAUUCAUGGCACUGGAAGUAGAAGAGGAGGUAAUAUCAUGCCCAUACCCACCUAGAUUGUAUCCUUCCUUGGCUUAUUUAUGUACAGCAAACCACCUAAAUUCUAGUUAUAUAAUAUUAAAAUAUUUGUGGGGGGAACUGAAAUUAUUUACUUGGGUUUGAUUAUUCAAGUCUAAAUAAAUAAAUUCAGGGACUCUAUGGAACCUACUACACCAUUGUUCGACUGCAUUAAGUCAUACUUUCACAUUAGUUUCUGUUGCAGUCUAGCUAAGCAACUUUGCAUCUACUUAAGUAUCAGGUAGUUACUGAUUACAAUUAUCUCAUCUAUUUGAUUUUACUAUCUUGAAAGCUGGUUCCACGUAUCUUCAUGUCCCACAAUCUCAUCAAAAUGCUCAAUAGAUAUUUGUUAACAAAUAUGCUGGAAUAAAUCUCUGCUAUUCCUGAUGAAAAUCAACUUGAUUGAAUAUUGGUUAGUUUUAGUACCUAUAAAUACUUAGUUCUUCUCCUUUAUUUGGAAGUACUGAGUCUUAAGUUCAGGUCUUUGCACUUGCUAGGCCUCUCUGUCACUUGAGCCACUCUUCCACCUCUUUUGUUCUCUGGUUAUUUGGAGAAUAUGCUCUUGCUUUUUACCCUGACCAGCCUGAACUACAAACUGCUAUUUAGGCUUCCUAUGAAGUUGGCAUAACUGCCACAUAACACAAUGCCCAACUUUUCAUCAGGAUUAUAUGACUCUUCCUACCUAGAACCUGAAAUUUUGAUACUCCUAAUCUCAACCUCCUGUGCUCAGCUAUUAGUUUACCCAGCUAUGGGUAUCUUGCCCACUUUUUGUCUGGACUGGCCUCUCAAUUUCUAAUUUCCAAGUGGCUAGGAUCACAGGUACAAGCCACUCACUCUUAGUGAACUAAACAGACAAUUCUUUGAUCUUGAAUCUUGCAGUUCUAGAGGUUGGGGAAGUCCAAGAAGAGAGUGAUGGCAUCUGGUACCUGGUAAGGAUCUUCUUGCUGUAUCCUCACAUCACAGAAAAAUAGGACAAAGCAGAGCCUAGCUGAUUCUCUAACAUCACUCAUCCUAUUACCUUGAGAUCUAAUCAACCCUUAAAAGCUUCACUUUUUAAUAUCAUCACAUUGGUUCUUAGGUUCAAACAUGUGAAUUUGGUAAAACUCAACAGAAACUAACGGGACAAAAUAGUAAAGCAACAAGCCAAGCCAAGAAUAUGUAGUAUUCACGAGCCACAGAUAAUUUGUGCUGAGUGAUUCACAGUAAAGAUAAAGAAUGUGAAUUCUGAAGCCUUCUGGGUUCUAAACCUUCCAGAGUUGGGCAGUAUACUAAGAAGUUCUAUAUACCCAGAGAAAUUCUGAGUUAACUGUAAUUGUCACGAAAUCUAGGGACAACUGAUGAAGUAAUUCUGUUGUUCAAAAAACGUAAACAUUUUAAUGCAUAAGAACAUUGUACAUUUAGCAUUACUCAAAAAUAUUAACUUUAUAAGCACGUAAUGGCUGCAUAUUUAGUGGUCACUGAUUGAGGAUUAUAGUUGCCAAAGUCAAGUCAAUGUUGAAAAUAAUAAACUUAAAGUGUAAUCAAAGCAAAUUAUUAUUUUUCUUCUAUGCAAACAGGAUGAUUUGUUGUACAAAUCCUUUUAUAUCUCUUGUGAAGCAGAUGCAGAUGUUGAUUGAAAAAUUCAGAAAUUUAUACCUCCAGACCUACCAUUCCAAUAGAUUUAGAAACGAAGGUAAAUUACUCCUCAUUAUCAAGUUUCUAUAGAAAUAACUUCUCACUUCAAAAAUACAAGGAAACCUUGAAAUAACUUCUUUUCUUUCAUUUAGUCAUUUUCCUGGUUCCAGAAACAGAAGCAAAUACAAUGUGACUAGCUAAUUCCCAGCUGCGUAAAGAUUUAAACCCAUGUCUGAAAACUGGACAAUCAAAUUAUGUAGUAGCCGAGUAGCCAGAAAUAAACCCAAUAGCUAAAUGUAGUUUAUUCAACAUUAUUAACACAAAUAAAAUUUACACCCAUAGUCCUGCACAUUAAAAACAACUUCUCCCAAAACAAAGAGCAAUAUUUUGCUGUGCCAAUCAAAUUAAACCACCACAAACAUAUGGAAAGAAAUCAAUUCGGUAACAAAACUUUGAAAAGUAUGGCAUUUAUCAUGUUCAAGACAGGCUCAUUUCAGUUUUAAAUAAACUUUCUUCCUCCAAGUAAGAAAUUUUUUUCUUUGUUUUGCUUUGCUGGGAAUGGACUCAACCCAAACAUUCUGUCAACUGAGCUAUAAAACCCUUUUCACCAACCCUACAUUAAUUAAAAGAGGGAAAACAAGAAUAAACAUAUAUAAUAUGUGUAUUGAUUUUAGGCAAAAGUGAGACUAAAAUCCUAUACCAAGAAUGCAAGAAUAAGAGUCUGGGAAUUAUGGUGAGAAAGAUUUAUAGGAAAAGCCUAGUCUUCUUGUUUUCUAUCAACACUUCCGGAGACUAACUGCAAAAUCACCUCAGCAAAUCUCCUUGACUAACAGGAAAGGAGCCAUUUUUAAUGGGCUUGGAAGCCCUAGCUCCACAGACCUCUACAGAUGAAAACUGAUAGCCUCCAAUAGAGCCUUAGUCUGAACAAUAAGUGCAUCAUCUACGCUCCCUGAAUCAUAUUCCUAAAUUAGCAGCCUCCACAGCCACCAUUAACUCACAUUUGAGAGACAUCGUCAAGAUCAGUCUUCCAAAUCAUGUACCACAAUAGCCUCAUCUGCAAGUUAUGAGCAGGUGAACAAUACAGAUGAGGAUAAGGGAAUAAUGUCUGUGCUAAAGUGCAGACAAGAAUGGAAGGGAUGAGAAAGAAAAAGGCAUGGAGUUAGACAUUUUAGAACACAAAGAAAACUUAUAGGUUACCUAGUCUGGUCUUGUAGCAAGUGUGGGACUAAAUCUGUGGAAUGCAAAAACAGCCCCGCUGGCAAAGAAGAAAUGAAUGUGUGCUGCCAAAAGCCCACAAGGUUUCUCAGCAUUCCUGAAGCUCCCUGGUUAUUCUUCCAAAAACAGAAACAGUCAAAACUAUUGUGUCAAAAUUAAGUGAGGAGUCGGCUUCCCUUCUGGGAAUUUUAAAUUUGCAUUCAGGUAAAAACAGUAAACUGAAACUUGGAAGUGAUUUUCUUUGUUUUGUCUUAAUUUUACCACAGAUUCCUUGCAUUCAUUCAUUCAAUUGUUUUCUAGGACUUCCAAGUGUCAGAAACUGCCUGGCCACAGGGGUACAGCAAUGAAACAAGUAGGAAGUUCUAGAAGAGGACUGUCAAUAAGCAAGCACAGAUAUUUGUGGAUAAGGUGGUGAAAGAUGAUAUAAUGAAAAUGAAAUCCAGUGACAGUAGAGAUUGUCAGAAGAAGCUAGUUCAUAUAGUUUAAUGUUCAAGCAAAGGUUCACUGAUCAAGCCAGUUGACAUGAGAGUUAUAGAAAGAACAUCAUAAAAGACUAUAUAGUAAAAGCAUUCCAAGCUGAGGAACCAGUGAUUGCCAAGGAUUUUCAGUGAGAAGCAAGAGGAAAGCCAGAGUAAGUUUGAUGAAUAGAUCAAGGGCAGUGGAGGAAGGAACUGGGGACAAGAUCAGGUAAGAGUCUUAUAAGCCACAACAAAGACUUUCAAUCUUACUCUCAAUGAAAUGGCAAGUUAGUAGUGUAUUUGAGAAGAUAAAUAAUUAUUUGGCUGAUAAGAAAAUUAUAUGACAAGAAAGCAACUGUAGCUGGUAGACUACUUAGGAAAGCAUUGUUAUAGGCCAUAUAAAAGAUAGGUUGGUGAAAUGGACUUAGGUGCUACCAGAGUUUCAGGGCAUAGUUGGAGGAAGUUGUUAAGUGUGAUAGCAAGUGAAAGGUCUAUGAUGAUUUCACAGUCUUUACCUUGAGUAACUAAAAUUAUCACUUACUGAGCCAGAGUAGAUUGUGAGACAAUUCUUCACAUUUCCUAAGACCACGGUAAAACUUAAAGAUACUUUUUAAACAGCCAAGCAGAAAAGUUUGAUAGGCAGGAGCAUAUACAAAUCUGGAGAUCAAAGGAGAAUCAACAAUGGCAGUGCAUAAAUCAUAACUAUCAGAUAAAAGUUAUCUAAUGCCAAGACUGGGUGAGCUCAUCCAUGGAGAGAUCGUAAAUAUAGAAUAUUUCUAGUGAAUGAGUCCUCAUAUAUUUUGCGAUUAGAGAAAAGGAAGAUGAAGGGGCUGGGGAUAUAGCCUAGUGGCAAGAGUGCCUGCC
Perognathus longimembris pacificus (Pacific pocket mouse) is the source of this 5001-nucleotide long non-coding RNA. RefSeq lists it as uncharacterized. Lineage: Eukaryota; Metazoa; Chordata; Mammalia; Rodentia; Heteromyidae. The record is from RefSeq and is a predicted model, not a curated record. The transcript is spliced from 3 exons.